This is a long non-coding RNA of Raphanus sativus (radish), 1794 nucleotides long. RefSeq lists it as uncharacterized. The transcript is spliced from 4 exons. Lineage: Eukaryota; Viridiplantae; Streptophyta; Magnoliopsida; Brassicales; Brassicaceae. The record is from RefSeq and is a predicted model, not a curated record.
UGAACCUUGAAAACACUACAUUCUGAUCGGAUUUUGGAUGGUUCAGUUUGUUCUUUGUGAUUAUGUAUCAUGUUCCUAGAUCGCUUGUUUAAGCAUUAGAAAGGUCAAACUUUGUAGCCUUAUGUGAAUCUUAGAUGAGAAAACUGUUCUCUUACUUACUAAUGUUUCAUCUCUUAGAUGAGAAUAGCUUGCCUACAGCAGCCUUAUCAGGAAGUGAAGAAUUUAGCCCCCCUGAGAUCAAAUCUAAAGGCAAGGGAAAGCAAUCUGAUGAGGUUGAUGGGAAAGCUACUUUGAACGUUCGCAAGCUCUCCACCACGGGUUUACAAUCGAGAAAAAACAAGCUCGUCUCUGGAGAAGAACUUGGGGAUGGAGUGAGGAGACAAGGAAGGACAGGCCGAGGAUUUGGUUCAACAAGGUCUGUCAACCCAAUGGGAGUUAUGAGACAGGGCACAACAAAACAACUUCGCAGUGCAAGGCUUACAAACGUCACAGAAAUACGUCUACAACACUAGAUUUUCUUGAGCUACUAGCUGCUGUUAACUCGGCUAUUAACUUUGCUCAGAAAUUUCCUAGCUCUUUCUGGAAGCAAAUGGAGCGCUAUUUUUGCUUUAUAUCUGAUGCACAUAUCACUUGUGUAGUUGGACGAGACAGAGACCAAGACUUGUUGGACGAAACAGAGAAGCAUGUGACAGAAGAAGCCAAGACUUGUGUACUUGGACGAGACAGAGAAGAAGAGUAGCUGCAUGUGACAGAAGAAGCCAAGAGUUGUAGUUGGCCGAGACUGAGAAGAAGAGAUUAAGCAUGUGACAGGAGAAGCCAAGGCUUGUAGUUGUAAAUGUUUUCUUUAUAAGGCUUGUGUAGUACCAUCGAAACAUAAACGUCUACUACAUUUUUGCUUCUAUCUUAUAAGACAGAGGAAGACAUUAUUUAAAGCUUUUGCUUCUAUCUUAUUAAAAAAACAUAAAACAUAAAGCUUCUAUCUUGUUUUCCUUUUACCACAUAUUCUCAAAUAAUUUCAGUUUACCACAUUUUUUUCCAAAUUCACAUUUCUUGCUUCUCACUUUCUUAAAUGGCAUCUUCUUCUUCUAAUAAUAUUGAAGACAUGAUGGAUGAAACAUUCGACCAAUUUUUCGAUCUAACAGUUCGACCAAUUUUCGAUGAAAAAUUCGACCAACUUUUCAAUCAACAAUUUGAAAUUCUUCUCAGUCUUCAUGGCCUGUCGAUUUCGGUUUCCACCUGUGAACUUCUGGUGACGCUUCCUUCUUCAAAUUCUGAUAUGUCGAUACGAGUGUAUCCAUUGCGUUCAUUUUCGACUAUCAUAUUGUGUAUUAUGAUACAUGCUCGCAUAAUCUUCCCUAUCUUUUCUUUGUCCCCUGUAAGAGCCGGGUUUUUGACAAUCGCAAAUCGAGCUUGCAAUACUCCAAAAGCCCGCUCCACAUCUUUUCGGGCUGAUUCUUGAACUUUAGCAAAUAACUCUUAUUUAGGACCUUGAGGAAGUGAGAUAGAUUGGAUAAAUGUUGACCAUUUUGGAUAUAUACCGUCUGUGAGGUAGUAAACGAACUUAUACUUAUGUCCGUUGACCAUAUAUUCUAACCUUGGUGCUCGACCUUCUAAAAUGUUCUCAAAAACAGGAGACCGAUCAAGGACAUUAAUAUCAUUUAAGGUACAUGGAGGACAAAAAUAGCGUGCCAUAUCCAAAGAUCUUGUGAAGCUACAGCCUCUAAGACAAUUGUGGGUUUACUUGAUCCACGUGCGUACUGUCCUUUCCAAGAGGUUGGGCAAUUUUUCCACUCC